Molecule: non-coding RNA, 27 nt
Filed under: Rattus norvegicus (Norway rat)
Lineage: Eukaryota; Metazoa; Chordata; Mammalia; Rodentia; Muridae
Source: RNAcentral
UAGAGUUUUGCAAAGGAAAGGAAGACC